UAUGGCCCAACAGCAGCUGCUGCAUAUCUGAUUAUGGACAUUGCCCUCAGGGUUCCCCGAAUGGAGACGCUGUAGCACGGUCCAGCAGAGAAUCUUCAACUAGAGGUGGUCUGGCAAUGGUGCCUAGGUAUGUGAUGUCUGCACAGCUUGCCCUGCAGCUGUGAAGUUGUGUCCUAAAAGCUGUUUUGUGAGGAAGAAAAUCCUGCCUCUCACCUUGCUGCUGACAUGGAGUGAAACAGGAAAGAUUACAUGAAGAAAGCCUGUGGGUGAUAUUCUCCUCCAGCACUCACUUGAGAUGGGGGGAGCUCAGGUGUUUUGGGGCAAUAUGACUAAGCAGAAGUAAUACACAUGAAUGAAAUUUAAAUCCCAGAGGGAGCUUUUUCAGGAUUUUGGUGCCAGUUUUGUGGUAAUUUUGUGCCAGCUGGACUUUUAGAUUUUCUCUACAAAUACACAAGUACUAGUGUUAAAUCCCCA
This 474-nucleotide long non-coding RNA is filed under the name Zonotrichia albicollis (white-throated sparrow). RNAcentral's name for it is "lncRNA (ENSZALG00000002841.1)". The record is from RNAcentral. Lineage: Eukaryota; Metazoa; Chordata; Aves; Passeriformes; Passerellidae.